RNAcentral lists this ribosomal RNA (100 nucleotides) under Neotamlana sargassicola. RNAcentral describes it as "partial 16S ribosomal RNA". It matches the Rfam family "Bacterial small subunit ribosomal RNA", at positions 1 to 96 of the family's 1533-position model. Lineage: Bacteria; Pseudomonadati; Bacteroidota; Flavobacteriia; Flavobacteriales; Flavobacteriaceae. The record is from RNAcentral.
ACGAUGAAGAGUUUGAUCCUGGCUCAGGAUGAACGCUAGCGGCAGGCCUAACACAUGCAAGUCGAGGGGUAACAUAGAGAAGCUUGCUUUUCUGAUGACG